Molecule: ribosomal RNA, 423 nt
Filed under: uncultured bacterium
Lineage: Bacteria
Description: bacterial SSU rRNA
Rfam family: Bacterial small subunit ribosomal RNA
Source: RNAcentral
UGAGGAAUAUUGGUCAAUGGGCGGAAGCAUGAACCAGCCAUGCCGCGUGCGGGAAGAAGGCCCUACGGGUUGUAAACCGCUUUUCCCCGGGAAGAAUAACCCCGACGCGUCGGGGGAUGCCGGUACCGGGGGAAUAAGGAUCGGCUAACUCCGUGCCAGCAGCCGCGGUAAUACGGAGGAUCCGAGCGUUAUCCGGAUUUACUGGGUUUAAAGGGUGCGUAGGCGGCCCUGCAAGUCAGCGGUGAAAUGUGGCGGCUCAACCGUUUCGCUGCCGCUGAUACUGUAGGGCUUGGAUGCGGUCGAGGCGGGUGGAAUUCGUGGUGUAGCGGUGAAAUGCAUAGAUAUCACGAGGAACGCCGAUAGCGAAGGCAGCUCGCCGGGCCGCGAUCGACGCUGAGGCACGAAAGCGUGGGGAUCAAACAG